UACGAAGGGAGCUAGCGUUGUUCGGAAUCACUGGGCGUAAAGCGCACGUAGGCGGACGUGUCAGUCAGGGGUGAAAUCCCGGAGCUCAACUUCGGAACUGCCUUUGAUACAGCACGUCUUGAGUCCGGAAGAGGUGGGUGGAAUUCCUAGUGUAGAGGUGAAAUUCGUAGAUAUUAGGAAGAACACCCGUGGCGAAGGCGGCUCUCUGGGACGGUACUGACGCUGAGACGCGAAAGCGUGGGGAGCGAACAGG
RNAcentral lists this ribosomal RNA (253 nucleotides) under uncultured bacterium. RNAcentral's name for it is "partial 16S ribosomal RNA". It matches the Rfam family "Bacterial small subunit ribosomal RNA", at positions 524 to 776 of the family's 1533-position model. The record is from RNAcentral.